GACGAACGCUGGCGGCGUGCUUAACACAUGCAAGUCGAACGAUGAACCGGCUUCGGUUGGGGAUUAGUGGCGAACGGGUGAGUAACACGUGGGUGACCUGCCCUGCACUCUGGGAUAAGCCUGGGAAACCGGGUCUAAUACCGGAUAGGACCUUCUGCCGCAUGGUGGGGGGUGGAAAGCUUUUGUGGUGUGGGAUGGGCCCGCGGCCUAUCAGCUUGUUGGUGGGGUGAUGGCCUACCAAGGCGACGACGGGUAGCCGGCCUGAGAGGGUGUCCGGCCACACUGGGACUGAGACACGGCCCAGACUCCUACGGGAGGCAGCAGUGGGGAAUAUUGCACAAUGGGCGGAAGCCUGAUGCAGCGACGCCGCGUGAGGGAUGACGGCCUUCGGGUUGUAAACCUCUUUCGACAGGGAACAAGCCUCGUCUUCUGGCGUGGUGAGGGUACCUGUACAAGAAGCACCGGCUAACUACGUGCCAGCAGCCGCCGUAAAAC
Molecule: ribosomal RNA, 495 nt
Filed under: uncultured bacterium
Lineage: Bacteria
Description: bacterial SSU rRNA
Rfam family: Bacterial small subunit ribosomal RNA
Source: RNAcentral